RNAcentral lists this non-coding RNA (97 nucleotides) under Pteridomonas danica. The record is from RNAcentral. Lineage: Eukaryota; Dictyochophyceae; Pedinellales.
AUUCAAAACGGCAAAAUUGGAAAUGGCUCGGUAAAAUAAUGCAAGAUACACCCACUUCUCAUUUCGUAGUUUUUUUUUUUUUUUUUUUUUUUUUUUU